Molecule: long non-coding RNA, 1727 nt
Organism: Tachysurus vachellii
Lineage: Eukaryota; Metazoa; Chordata; Actinopteri; Siluriformes; Bagridae
Exons: 3
Source: RefSeq, a predicted model, not a curated record
UUUUUUUUAGUAUAGCAGAGAUUAUGAUUUGUCUUUUGUCGAAACAAGUACACACUUUCCAAUUUAUUAGGAACAGAAGUAUACCCAAUUAUCAGUUAAUAACUUUAGUUAAAGUUCAGUUUCCAUGAGACUGGGUUAUUUCAGUGGCUAAAGGCUAGAUUUAAAUAUUUCUGAAAAUUUUCUAUGGGGCUUUCAAGCACAAGUGACGAGCAGCUUUGUGGAUGAAAAAUCUUCAUUAAAGCUUGCAGCAAAAGGAUGUAAUCUGACCUAUGUGUGGUUUUACAGCACAACCUUUUUGUCACUCUUUUCUCUUCCUUUUCUCUCUACCCCCAUUUCAGUAUUUCUCCUUUUUUGAAUUAAUUUAUAAAGUCAGCUUUGUAUAUUCUUGGACCAGAGACGCCUGAGUUCUCCACAUACUUUCAAUGUUCAAGAGGUCCUGUGAAGUGCAAUAAUAUUUUUGCUUUGUGCUCAGAUUGGAUUGUCUUUGUGUCCCACAUCAUGUACUGCUUAAAGAACUGGUAUUCAGACAGUGUGGCCCUGAACACCAAACCCAUCCGCUUGUCCAUCUUCCUCAUUGCCGGUGUGUGUGCGGGUUUUCCAGCUCUUAUUUGGGCUCUCAGUGUACUGUACCGCCAUUAUAAGAGCGGAGGUCGAAACUCAGUCUUCGCCGUCUUCCUCCUCCUCAGUGACCUGCUGGAGCUGAUCCUGACUCCAUUCCUUGUAACAUACAUAUUCAAAGAGGACUUUAAUCCAUGUGGAAUCAUUUUUGGACUAUUGCUUGGAGCCAGGCUGUUUGGGCAACUGCUUCACCAGACAGUGGCGUUAGAGAGCAUUUGCCAAAGAUAUCGAUUACUUGCUGAUGUUUUCUCUCCUCCCUGCUCUAUCGUAUUCUGCCUCAUUUUUCUUCUAGCAGUUGGAUGUCAUUUCAUACAUGAUAUUACAUAUGUGAUAACUACAAUUGUAUGCAUAUUGCCUGUGAUUGUGUGUGCAGUCACAUACAUAUUAACUUGGAAAGUACCUCAUGACAGCGACCAGGCCAUAGACAGAAAGCCUGGUGUUCUGGUUGUAACUGUUGCCAUGUUUACAUUGCUACUUAUAUACAUACCAUUUUUCUUGACUGUUUUUACUGACAUUCCUUUCAUUUUGGACUGUUUAACAAGUGUGAGAUUAAUCUCUGAUCCCCUCCUGUGUGUACUCAUCUGCAAGGAGCUCGGUUUCAAUUCACAUACAGAUCGUACAGAAGGAUCAAGUGCAUUAAAUUAGCAGCUUUGAAUUAGCAGGACAAACAGUAGGUUGUGUUUUGUGAUAUUAUUGCAGUGUGUAUAUUAUCAGUUUUGCAGAAAUGGAGGUCAACAUACAGAAAUUAUUUACACCAGUCUACAGGCAUGUAAUUGUGUUCAGUUCUUGCUGGUUUGUUUGUGGUUAAAAUGUUCCCAGACAUGUUAUACACACAUUCUUACAAUCCCUUCUAUAGGAACAAAUUGCUUUUGCAAAAAUAUUUGUGUCUAGUUUCUGUUUCUUUUUUUUUCUUUUCAGGCAGACUUGUUUUUUUCUUUUUUCUUUUUUUAAUAAUUUGUGCAUGGGCUUGUGUGAAUGUGUGUAUUUUUGGAACCAAAACUCAUGCAGUUUGUGUGUGUAUCUUCAGGAGGACAAUGUUGCCUGCAUCUAUUAUUCAGUGUGUUCUGCAAAAUUACAGAGAAGCAGACAAUAAAUUUUUAAAAACAUGA